AACUGUCAUGAUGGCUAUAGCAGAAGCGCUCAUAUCAUGGCCCUGUCAGAUUCGAAUGAAUCUGAGAAUUCUGCU
RNAcentral lists this long non-coding RNA (75 nucleotides) under Crocodylus porosus (Australian saltwater crocodile). RNAcentral's name for it is "Mammalian CPEB3 ribozyme (ENSCPRG00005004075.1)". It matches the Rfam family "Mammalian CPEB3 ribozyme". From Rfam's summary of the family: The mammalian CPEB3 ribozyme is a self cleaving RNA located in the second intron of the CPEB3 gene which belongs to a family of genes regulating messenger RNA polyadenylation. This ribozyme is highly conserved and found only in mammals. There is currently only one other known self cleaving ribozyme in mammals, the CoTC motif. The record is from Rfam by way of RNAcentral. Lineage: Eukaryota; Metazoa; Chordata; Crocodylia; Crocodylidae.